GCCCUUGCUGGGAAAGGCCCCAGGCCACGUUUCUGGGGGAGGAGAAGAACCGCGGGUGGACACGCUCGGCCCCAGGCCACCAGGGAACGUUCGUGUCUGGAGAACGAGGCCCAGAUCCGUUUGAUGGGAGCAGCUCUGGCCAAGCCUGGAGGGCUGGCCCUGCCUGCUUAGGGUUGGACCUGAAGAAAUGCACUGGCCUAACCCAGUGGCCUCCGCUGACCGCGGUGGGAUGGGGUUAGGGCUGGAGGCACAUCCACCUCCCACCCCUCAAAGAGGAUGUCUGUCCAAGGGUCAAAGAACUGGAGAGGCUGAGUAAGUUGAGGGUGGGUGGCUGCCCAGUGAAGGCGGGAGUAGUAGGAAGAAGGAAGGAGGCGUAAAAAGAAGGAAGAAGAAUUUUAAGAACAUGCCAAGGACAUAACUGCAGUCCUUGGAAAGGUUUAGGUUCUGUCCAGGGUCAAGAAGGUCAAACUGAGAGAGUGUUGAGCUCUUUUUCAGAAGCCACUGGAGCAAAGACCAACAUCUCUAGGAGAGAGCACAGUCUCCAGACGUGCAGGCUCAGCGGCCAUGGCUCAUGGGCCCAGCCGCUCUGCAACACGUGGGAUCCUCCCGGACCGGGGCACGAACCCGUGUCCCCUGCAUCGGCAGGCGGACUCUCAACCACUGCGCCACCAGGGAAGCCCUGGAAUAAUGAAUUUUUAUUUGGAGAUAAUCAUAGAGAUGGGCAGGGGGUGCCAGUCUGGGGGCUCCUGGGCCUUGGGGUCAUUCACUCCUUGAAAGGGGGCUCUUUGGGAGCAGGUCUGUUUAAGCUCCCAAUCAAGCCUGCUAUGGGAAGGUGGGAGCUCUCCCUGUCUAGGCCACCCGACGUCGCCCCGGUAUAGUGUCCACACUCCUGUCUGGAGAGCAGGACAUUUGCCCAGCUGCACCUUCAUCCCUUGAAGGGAACUGAAGACUCCUCCAAGGUGGGAAGAAAGGUCUAAUAUGUCAUUUGGUGAUCAUCACACUCUCCCCGCAUGUUGGUAAGCACUGAGUGUGAACUUACUGAAGACCUUUAGGGGUAAGUGCCAGCCAGACAGUGAGGACCUGGCUAUUCCUGCAGCAUCAGCAUCACUGGGAGCUUGUUAGUGAUGCAGACUCUCAGACGCACCUGAUGGAAUCAAGACUAGGUUGUAAGUCUCCCCAUGUGAUUGGGGAUGCACAGUAAAGUUUGAAAACUGCUCUAGAACAAGGCCCAUUCCCUGACAUUGAUUUAAUGGACUUGUUUUGAAUUAAUUAAUGGAGCCGAACUGACCUUGCUGUUUCAGAAUUUUGUUGAUUACACCACCCUGGAGAAACUUCCAGUAAAACAUAAAUCUGCCAAAAUCGUUUCCAAGCUCGAUUAUCCCAGACGGAAUCCCCUCCCAGGCCAUGGAUGUUCUGAAAGCUCAGGAUAAAAUGUAUUCCACAUCCCUGAUCUUUGCGAGGGCGACACUUUGGGAGUGUGGUGGAGAGUGAGAACCUCCUUUCAGGGCCAGCUCUGAAGCUUGGCUCUGCAUUGGUGACAACUUUUCCUGCCACACCUGAGAGGACCUGGGCUCUGCCCCCACGGAGAACAGUUACAGUAUCUCCAUCCUCAUCUGUGGUCUCCCUGCACCAAAGCCUGGCAAAGAGGUGACCCUUCUCAGGAUUUUCUGAACAGAGCCAGCAGCCCAUGGCUAUCAAAAGAGCACAUGAGCCUACUAUCAAAGGGCUUAAAGAGACACAGAAUCACCCAAGUAGAAAGCGGUAUUAAGCAGCCUAUUUUUCCAUCGACAGAUGAAUGGAUAAAGAAGAUGUGGUACAUAUAUACAAUGCAAUAUUACUCAGCCAUAAAAAGGAACAAAAUUGGGUCAUUUUAGCAAUGUGGUUGGACCUAGAGUCUGUCACACAGAGUGAAGUAAGUCAGAAAGAGAAAAACAAAUACCGUAUAUUAACGCAUAUAUACGGAAUCUAGAAAAAUGGUACUGAUGAACCUAUUUUCAGGGCAGGAAUAGAGACAGAGACGUAGACAAUGCACUUGUGG
Molecule: long non-coding RNA, 2038 nt
Organism: Mesoplodon densirostris (Blainville's beaked whale)
Lineage: Eukaryota; Metazoa; Chordata; Mammalia; Artiodactyla; Ziphiidae
Exons: 3
Source: RefSeq, a predicted model, not a curated record